GCUUUGAGAAAGCAGUGCUAUCUAAGUUUCUUUUUUAUAAGCCAGUGUUGUUCACAGCUGUGAGAAGGGGACUAAUCUGGUUCUGAAUCAAGUUAAUGCUGCAAGGACACAUUGAAAGCAUACCUCAAGAAAACAGAUGUUGAAAUCAAGAGCUGUCGACUGACCCCAGUGGUGCUGCAACCUCAGCAAAAUGGCACCCCAUUUCAAGGUAAAAAUAUGAAUUCUUAAAUCCUACAUAAAUGAUCUACGUGACAAGAAUAGAAUAUUUAUUCAAACAAUUGAAGAUUCUGAAAGAGAAGCCAAUGACAAUUUUUCAUUUGAAGGUUAGACUACUGGGAGCUGACCAGAUAAUUAAUGAAUGAGAAAAUCUUCCCUCCUGCAAGCAUUUUAAAAAAAUUUCUAGAGACCCGUAAUCAUUUUUGUUGUUAUGAAGAAGAUUUGAUCCUAGAGGAGUCCCCAAUGGAUUUGAAGCUGAUGAAUUAUGCCAAGCCUGUAAUGAUGUAGAAGAAAUCAAGCUUCGCAAGGCUGAGACUGCUGCCUUGGGGCAAUUUCAGAAAUUGGAUGAAAUCAUGAAGAUUUGUGCUAAACAGCUAAAAUUGCAGCUUCCAGCCAAGGAUAAUGUGGUUCACUGCAUUAAGGAUGAUCUUAAUAAAACCAUGUGUGGCAGACAUGUUAGUAGAUAAGGUUUUAUUCAUGUCUUGCUUCCCCACUUACUCCAUUGAGAUCAGUUGGUUUAGGUGAAGGGAAACUAACUUCACCAACUUCCUAUCCUGAUCCUUCUUUCCUGUUGAAAAGAGGAUGUUCCCUUAGGAUGGAAAGCAUAUGAUGAACCAGAGUUGAACUAUACAGACCAUUUCAGAAACAUCUAGACUGAGGGAAGUGGUAAGCUGCUGUCUUUAUACUUGCCUUGAUUGUCAAGGUAUUUUAGGUAUUUUUUUUAAACUUUGUUUCCUGGUAGUUGUGGCAAUAAGAGUUUAGAGUGUCUCCUGUAGGAUGGUGGUGGAGGAGAAAUAUAACAAAUACAAUUAGUGGUAAUUUUCCUAUCUUAAAAUUUUCUUCAUGCUGAAAGGCAAAUAAAUCUUUUCACACUGCCACAUCAACAAUGUUUAAGUAGGGGUAAAAAGCUUUCUACUUUGUGGGUGAGGCUGAUAUGGUUUUGACAGAUGUGAAUGCUUGGCAUACUCAUCUUUAAUUACCACAUAGAAUUCUUUCAUACUCUUCUUAAAACAAGACUCAGUAAAAAACAGUCUUUAAGAAAUAGUAAAACUUUGUUUUGGAUUAAGCUUACUGUAAAAGAUGAUUAAGUUGAUUUUGGCCAUUUUUAUACCAUAUGUCUGGUCUGUCUGAACAUAAUCAUUGCUAUUUAAUUUCAAUAAUUUUUCUCUAUUAUAGUUGGAUGAAAUCUUUUAAAAUUAACAUUUCUUAUCCCAGUGGAUCUGUGGAUUUGCUAUGAAUUGAAAGAACAUUUAAAUAUACCACUAACUUGUUGCCAACAUGCAUUUUUGUUAAUAUUCAUGUUAAGUAAGUUAAGCAUUAGCAUACUACAAAGUAUAUGACAUUGAGAGACCAACUUAAAUCUUGUUGCUACUUUUUAGUGUCUUUUCAUUUUGCUUCAAUUCGAAAGAAGUAAAAAACGAGGAGUAUCUGUUUGGUGUUCACUCUCUGAAUUCAAGAAAACUGGUUAAAUUGCCAUCAGAGACAUCCUUAUAAUGAACCUUCAUGCAGCUAUAGAAUUAGCAUAGAAACAUGCAGAAAUUGUAGUCUGAGGUAUUGUGAAUUCUUUAUAUUUGGUCUGUGUAAAAUCCUAAUCUAUUUACAUGAUACACAUGAAUGAGACAUGAAGAAAAAUCCAAGUCUGCUUCUCUUAACUUCGUGCAUCUGACUUUCCUGAUUGGCAAUGUUUGAGAGUGCUGUAAGGAAUUCUUCAUUCAACACUUGAGCUUGUAUUCUGACCUUGCUGGCAUUAAAUGUGUAAGAGAACAUUGUUGUCUUGGGAAGAUUCACGUGUUUAGCAGUCAGAUUCUUUGGAAGUCUUGUCUUUAUUUCAGCCAGAGAUUUUAGAGGUUUUCUAUUUAUUCAAUUAUCAUCAACCCAAUGAUGUCUUUCUAAAUUGACAUUUUAGUGUGCUUUUCUUGAUCAUGAUUGCAAGCUUAUUAGUUGAUGCAAAAUUAGUCUCUAGAGCGGGGGUGUCAUAACACAGUUCAGGGGCUGAAUUUAGCCUGUGGUGCUGCUUGCUCCAGCCCACUGGUCUACUGAGAAACGAAGAAAGUUGGCAGGGGUGGCCUACCACAGAAUUCAGAGCCCAUCAGUGGCAGGACACCAUCUCCCUGUACUCUGGGCUGAAUCAGCUGCUGAUACUGCAUGCCUUGAGCCAGAUCUGUCCCAGGGAAUGGAGUGAACUUGACCCCCUUGCUCUAGAGAACCAGUGAGUUGUCCACAUAGCACUUUGGAUUUAUAGUGAGAGUCUACAAUGAUAAAGCAUAGAGGGAGAGGAGAUGUAAACCAACAACAGAUUCUUUGGGACAUGAACAGAAAUCUUGAGGAAGGAUGGAGAAAGGGACAUGUUAAAGAAAGAGGUAGGUGGAGAACCAGGAUUGGAUGAGAUCAGAUGCUGGAAGUUCAAGUUGUCAUUCUUCCUGCAAUACAGAUAAUAAUGCCUAAAAUCCCCAAAUGUGAACUCAUCUCUGUUUUGCUAGAUACUAUACAAAUGAGACAAACAAGUGCUUAUCACGUUAAGCAUAAAGCAAAGGUUGGAGAGCUGGGAAUGAUUGCCCUGCGCCAUUCCUCAUGUGCAGUUCCUGGGACUCUGGCUGGCCCAGUCCUGGUCGGUGCUACCGCUUGCAACUCCCAGGACUCUGGCCAGAAGCCAUGGGGAGCUGCACACCAUCAGGCUGGUCUGGGCCAGCUCUGCCUCCAACUCCAUGGGGCACCUGGCACAGAGCUGGCCCAACCCAAUGGUGCACGGCUCCCCAUGUCUCCUGGCACUCAAGUGGGGAGCUGCGUGUAAUUGGCUUGGGUUGGGCCGGGUUGGGCCAGCUUCAUACUACCACAUGCAGCUCCCGGUACUGUAGCUGGGAUCCACACAACAUUGGGCCAAGUUGACUCUGUGCCUCCAUCUGCAGCUUCCUGCUAGAGUAGAGGCCCAGCCUGAUGGCGUGUGGCUUCCCACAACUUGCAGCACUCUAUUAGGGAGCCCCAUGCUAUUGGGCUGGGCUGACUUCAUGUCACCACAUGUGACUUCCGGCACUCCAGCCAGCAGCCACAGGAGCUGCAUGCCAUCAGGCUAAGUUGGGCCAAGCCAGCUAUGUGCUGCCACAUGCAACUUCUGGCAUUCCAGCCGGGAGUCGCCCACCAUUGGGCUAGGUCAGGCUGGCUCUGUGCUGCCGUGUGCAGCUCCUGGGACUUGGAUGGAGCCAUGUGCUGCCAGGCGGGCGGGGCUGUGCAUAGUGGGGGUAUGUGGAGGGGGCUACCAAGCACCCCCCACCAUACCCACACAUCUAUACCUGCCCCACCAAAACCUCACACCUACACUUACUUGAUAGUGGAUUAUAUGACAUUGAGCCAGAAUUUCUGUAUUCUGUCCCUAGGUUUAUGAGAAUUGCGAUUCCUAAAUGAAAGGAAGGAAGAUCAUUGUUAUUGUUCCAGAGAGAACUGGAAUGUCAUGAUGGCACUCUAGACUGCUCUCAUCUGCUUCAAUUCAUUUCUUAAGUUUCCUUUAAGGACUGUCACUCUCAAAUUUCAAAACUGUUUUAAAGUCUGUGUUAGUCCCAAAGGAAGUGUAUUGCAUCUCUCUUGGAUCUGGAUCCAUAUUUACUCACAUGUACCCUUUCCCCCAAAAUCAGUCCUCUAAAAUUGGGGUGCGUAUAUUAAGCAGGGAACCUUAUUUUUCUUUCCUGGAAUAGAAACAGGGAGAGACUGUGCUCUAAUGACUUGCAAAAUGGCUGCCCCUUUUUUAUGGCUUAACAAGCAGCAGUGGUAGAGUCUAGUGUUAACCCUCUCAGAGCCACUUUUGGCUGAGCACGUAGCAUAUGCCUGAUGCAUUAACUGGGUUGGUGUAAGGCAAGUGAGCUGCUGUAUGCACCUGUAGAAUCAUGAUGAGGGAUCUGAGUUUUCUGUUUCCCAUGGAAAAACAGAAAAAAAUGUGAAUUUUCCCUUUUAACAGAGAAAAACAAAUUUUUCAUUUUAACAGAGAUACCCGUGGAUUUUCCACUUUUGCAAAGAGCUCUUUGCAGGCUGGCAGAGUUCUAUCCUGCAAGAGCUUCUUGUAAAAAAGGUGGCAAGCCCUAAGCCCUGUCCCAAGGGGGUGGAGGAGGUGAAAGAGCUGGGGCCUAAGACUGUCAGCUAGGGCUUGGCUUAGACUCACUUUCUCUCCUGGUGCCUUUGAGGUAAGUGGGGCUUGCAGUGGCCUGGGGGCCAGCUGGGGGCCCCCUUUGGUGGG
Molecule: long non-coding RNA, 4438 nt
Organism: Alligator mississippiensis (American alligator)
Lineage: Eukaryota; Metazoa; Chordata; Crocodylia; Alligatoridae
Exons: 9
Source: RefSeq, a predicted model, not a curated record